Molecule: ribosomal RNA, 546 nt
Filed under: uncultured Glomus
Lineage: Eukaryota; Fungi; Glomeromycota; Glomeromycetes; Glomerales; Glomeraceae
Description: SSU rRNA
Rfam family: Eukaryotic small subunit ribosomal RNA
Source: RNAcentral
UUGGAGGGCAAGUCUGGUGCCAGCAGCCGCGGUAAUUCCAGCUCCAAUAGCGUAUAUUAAAGUUGUUGCAGUUAAAAAGCUCGUAGUUGAAUUUCGGGAUCAAUAUAUUGGUCAUGCUUAGGUAUGUACUGGUAUUAUUGAUUUCUCCCUUCUGAAGAACCAUGAUGUCAUUAAUUUGAUGUCGUGGGGAAUCAGGACUGUUACUUUGAAAAAAUUAGAGUGUUUAAAGCAGGCUUUCGCUUGAAUACAUUAGCAUGGAAUAAUGAAAUAGGACGUUUGAUUCUAUUUUGUUGGUUUCUAGGAUCGACGUAAUGAUUAAUAGGGAUAGUUGGGGGCAUUAGUAUUCAAUUGUCAGAGGUGAAAUUCUUGGAUUUAUUGGAGACUAACUACUGCGAAAGCAUUUGCCAAGGAUGUUUUCAUUAAUCAAGAACGAAAGUUAGGGGAUCGAAGACGAUCAGAUACCGUCGUAGUCUUAACCAUAAACUAUGCCGACUAGGGAUCGGAUGAUGUUAUUUUUAAUGACUCAUUCGGCGCCUUACGGGAAAC